This 468-nucleotide ribosomal RNA is filed under the name uncultured bacterium. RNAcentral describes it as "partial 16S ribosomal RNA". It matches the Rfam family "Bacterial small subunit ribosomal RNA", at positions 28 to 507 of the family's 1533-position model. The record is from RNAcentral.
GACGAACGCUGGCGGCGUGCUUAACACAUGCAAGUCGAACGGAAAGGCCCUGCUUUUGUGGGGUGCUCGAGUGGCGAACGGGUGAGUAACACGUGAGUAUACUGCCCUUGUCUCUGGGAUAUCUUCCGGAAACUGGGGCUAAUACCGGAUAGGUGCCACUGCUGUAUGGUGGGGGUUGGAAAGAUUCGGCGGUUGGGGAUGGACUCGCGGCUUAUCAGCUUGUUGGUGGGGUAGUGGCUUACCAAGGCUUUGACGGGUAGCCGGCCUGAGAGGGUGACCGGCCACACUGGGACUGAGAUACGGCCCAGACUCCUACGGGAGGCAGCAGUGGGGAAUAUUGCACAAUGGGCGGAAGCCUGAUGCAGCAACGCCGCGUGCGGGAUGACGGCCUUCGGGUUGUAAACCGCUUUCGCCUGUGACGAAGCGUGAGUGACGGUAAUGGGUAAAGAAGCACCGGCUAACUACGUG